Molecule: ribosomal RNA, 391 nt
Filed under: Streptomyces chisholmiae
Lineage: Bacteria; Bacillati; Actinomycetota; Actinomycetes; Kitasatosporales; Streptomycetaceae
Description: bacterial SSU rRNA
Rfam family: Bacterial small subunit ribosomal RNA
Source: RNAcentral
AAAGCGUGGGGAGCGAACAGGAUUAGAUACCCUGGUAGUCCACGCCGUAAACGGUGGGUACUAGGUGUGGGUUUCCUUCCUUGGGAUCCGUGCCGUAGCUAACGCAUUAAGUACCCCGCCUGGGGAGUACGGCCGCAAGGCUAAAACUCAAAGAAAUUGACGGGGGCCCGCACAAGCGGCGGAGCAUGUGGAUUAAUUCGAUGCAACGCGAAGAACCUUACCUGGGUUUGACAUGCACAGGACGCCAGUAGAGAUAUUGGUUCCCUUGUGGCCUGUGUGCAGGUGGUGCAUGGCUGUCGUCAGCUCGUGUCGUGAGAUGUUGGGUUAAGUCCCGCAACGAGCGCAACCCUUGUCUCAUGUUGCCAGCACGUAAUGGUGGGGACUCGUGAGA